Non-coding RNA from Drosophila suzukii, 3584 nucleotides. The record is from RefSeq and is a predicted model, not a curated record. Lineage: Eukaryota; Metazoa; Arthropoda; Insecta; Diptera; Drosophilidae.
UACAGUUUCAUACGGUUUGUUUCCAUAUGAACUGACUGUUUUUUUUAUCCGGAGUGAAGUGCAGAAAAAUGAAUAAAGCUCUUUUUUAACAAAUAUAUUUUUAAAAACGACUGUGCAUUAAAUAACCAACCGAGAGGAGGUCAACCACUCAACUGACGCCGCCUGAGCGUGGUCGUCCUGCUCCCAGCACCAGCACCACCCCCAACCCCAGGGCUCCGCUCCUGGGUGCGCGAAUCAAUUACAGCGACGUCGUAACGCGAAAAUCGAUUUCGGCUGCGGGCGCAGGCUGAAUCACCAGAAAUUAUGUCCCACUGCGAUGUGGACACGGAAAUAAAGAUGACAUCGCCCAGCCGGAUGAAGGACGCAACCGUUCUCCGGAAGGUCAACACAUCCUGGAGCAGCGUGCUCCUCCUGGCCGCACUGACCCUGUGCGUCUUGAUCUCCGGAUGCAAUGCCACGGACACGGACAUCGCUCUGGACGCGAAGGCCACGCUGAACCACCGCAUCCAGAGCCUGGAUCUGCUCGUCUUCGUGUUCCUGCUGGCCCUUACGGUCCUCACCAUAUGGCUGUUUAAGCACCAUCGCGUCUCCUGGCUCCACGAGACCGGACUGGCCGUCAUAUACGGCUUGAUUGUUGGAGCAAUUAUACGGUAUGCGGGCACCUCCGCCACUCUUGUCCACAUGCAGGUGGAGCCGCAAGGUGUUCCAACGUACACCGACAAGUUGCCGCCCGAUACGCUCUGGUUUAAAUAUCCCGUCAACCAAACGAAUGGAACCAAACUGCCGGAGGGAAUUAAGACGUACGCCUAUGUAUUUCGCGGGCAAGUUCACGAUGUGGAUGAAAACGAAAUCGAUCUUAAGGCAACCUUUGAUCCGGAGGUGUUCUUCAACAUUUUACUACCGCCAAUAAUCUUUUACGCAGGUUACAGCUUGAAAAAGAAAUACUUCUUUCGCAAUCUGGGUGCCAUCCUGACGUUUGCCAUUGUGGGGACCACCUUGUCGGCCUUCCUGAUCGGUGGCUUCAUGUACGGUUGUGUGAAACUGAUGCCAAAGUACUUGAGCAGCAGUUUCACAUUUCUGGACACUCUAUACUUUGGAGCCCUGAUUUCGCCCACAGAUCCGCUCACCAUUCUAGCCAUUUUCAACGAUCUCCGAGUUGACGUAAACCUAUAUGCGCUAGUCUUGGGCGAAUCUGUGCUCAACGAUGCCGUGGCCAUUGUCCUAAGCGGAGCCAUUCAAAACUAUGGUGAACAUUACUCCAAUACGGGGGAAUUCGAAACUACAGCUUUCCUGCGCUCGUUAAGUGACUUCUUUUCCAUCUUUCUGCUGUCCCUGAUGAUUGGCGCCGCCAUGGGCUGCUUGACAGCAUUGAUGACCAAAUUUACGCGUGUUCGUGACUUUCCCCUACUAGAGUCGGCGCUGUUUGUGCUGAUGAGCUACAGCACCUUCCUGCUGGCUGAGGCCACAGAACUUACCGGAGUGGUGGCCGUGCUUUUCUGCGGCAUCUGUCAGGCUCACUACACAUACAACAACCUGUCGGAGGACUCGCGCCAAAGGACCAAGCAGAUCUUCGAGCUGCUGAACUUUUUGGCCGAGAACUUUAUAUUUUCUUACAUUGGAGUUUCGAUGUUUACCUUUCCAAAGCAUCAUUUCGAUGCAGGAUUUAUCAUAACAGCUUUCAUCUGCGCCGCAAUAGGACGUGCCGUGAAUGUGUAUCCCUUAUCCUGGCUGCUUAACAUCAAGCGCAAACCUAAAAUCUCCUCCAACUUUCAGCACAUGCUCUUCUUUGCUGGACUUCGUGGAGCAAUGUCCUUUGCCUUGGCCAUCCGAAAUACCGUGUCGGAUGCGCGACAGACUAUGCUGACCGCCACAUCGCUGAUUGUCAUCUUUACGGUCGUAAUCCAGGGUGGGGCAGCCAAUUUUCUGCUAAAUUGGUUGAAAAUACCUGUUGGCGUUGACGAUGAGACUGAACAAUUAAAUAAUUACCAAGUGCACAGUGUUUACAAUUCAAUGGACAAUUCACACCCGCAGACGUCUGAUGGUUAUUUACAGGAUGUGGAGAAUGGCGGCGGAGGACGCGGCAAAUUGCGUUUGUCCGGUGGCACAGAGUCCAACUUGGAUACGCCAGCGGAUGGACCGAAUGGCAGCUUGGGCGGCCCAAGCGGCGGACGUCGUCGCAACAGCCAUGAGAAGGCCAUUCUGGCCAGGAUCUGGGCGAACUUUGAUACCAAGUACAUGAAGCCCUUGCUGACGCACUCAAGACCCACUCUCCUGGAGACCUUGCCCGUUUGCUGCAAUCCCAUUGCCAGGCUGCUCACCACCACGCAGCAGCUCACCCAGGAUGGAAGCGAGUUCAGGCGCGUGGACUCGGACUCGGAUAUCUGCAUAGACAACGAUACCGGGAAUGGUCUUGGCCAGGAUGUGGGACCCGGAACGGGACCGGGCGUGGGUCGGCGGAACUCCCUGAGUCGCUCUGUCCAAUUGAGUGAAGCCAAUCAUCACCUUGCAAAUGAACUCAGCCUGGUUACUAAUAAUUUCAUGUAAUCAUUUCUGUAUGGGAAAUCAAGAGAUCGAGCCAGUUAAUUAUGUAUUUUAUUUACUUACUAUUUAUAAUGUUUUUGUUUGUUUUUGUCUACUUUUCCUUGGUAAAACAAAUGUUUUAAACGAAGCACAGACGGAGACAACCCAGACAUGAUAAACUAAGUCCAGAGUCAGUUAGUCCAGUCAGUGAAUUGAUUAACAGAUUAACCAAUGCUUUUUAAGGCACAGCAGUUCGUUUGUAUUGUUCACUUUUAAUUUCUGUAUUUUUCCUCAUAAUCUAAUUUCUUAGAUUCUAACACGCGACUAACCAUGUUAGAGGCGAGCAUCGAAAUAUUUACAUAUAAGUUAAAUCUAUUGUUCUUUUCUUUUGUUAUUUAUUGAAAUUGGUCUCAUUUAAAAUGGAAAGUGUGAAAUCUGUACAAAUUAGAUUAUUAUUCCUCAGUUUUUUCUUGUUUACGAUAUGUGAUUCGGAACUCUAGUUAUAAACAUUAAUUAAAAAUAUCAAGCUUAUCAGUUAAUUAAAAUCCGUAAGGGCACUGAAGCUGAAAAAGGCUACCUAUCAUCGAGCUGACACACACCAAUACCAUACCUUAUAACACCAUAUUAUAUUACAUGCAUAUAAAGCCUCUUUUAUUCUAAUUUUGUCAACUCCUUGCGUCCUUGCAGUUUAAUUAGUUUUGCCCAAACUUAUAAAUAUCUGCAUAUAAAUAAGCCUAAAUAAAUGGCCGAGUGAAAAUUUAUACGAAUACUUAUAGACAUAUAUUUCUUUCUCUUAUUUAUUCGACAUCGCAAAAUAUGCAAACAAUUAUAUAAUAUUCGCCUGAAACCACAAACAAAUUUGUAUUCAGAUGGAGAUUCUGGAGCAUGUUCAAAGUCCGGUGUCGACGAGAAUCAGACUCUUAGGAUUUUAUGGAAAAAAGUUAUAAAACAAAGGCAGAAGUAAUCGGAUUUAAUUUUUUGAUGUAUUUUACACAACAUAAACUUAUAGCUUUUUCGUUUUAAGAAAGUUAGUGUAAAUAUAUCGUUUUGAUUACUGAGCUAAA